UAAAUGUAAAAUAUAGUGUAGAGAUUGAUAGAAUAUAAUAAGAGUAUGAGUUGUAUACUUUCGAGGGUAUAGAGGCAGCUGUGAUUUAAAGUUGUUUUUUAUUAUAAGAUAUCUAAUACGACAAUCGGUUCAGUUAGUCAUAAUAUACACAAUUGAAUCAAUCUAAAAAGAAAUUGGAAAAACUUCAAAUAUAUACCACCCUUUUGGUUUCACACUUUCUCACUUUAGUACCUUGUGGUUUAAAAUGUAUUAAUUUAGUACCCUGUGGUUUCAUUUUUAUAAUUUUAUUAUCGAUUUCACUAAUUUUUUCGUUAAAUCAGUGACAAAGUUAAAACUAAAAGGUACUAAAGUGAGUAUUUAAUAAAACUUAAAUGGGGCAUCUGAAGUUUUCUGUACAUACUUUAACGAAAUAUUAACGAAAAAGCUGACGAAAAGAUAUAAAUGAAACCACAGGACACUAACUAGCUUGAUACACUUUAAACCGCAUGAUACUAAAGUGAGAAAGUGCGAAACCACGGGGGUAGUAUUUGAAGUUUAU
RNAcentral lists this long non-coding RNA (538 nucleotides) under Ananas comosus (pineapple). RNAcentral describes it as "long non-coding RNA (ACOM_LNC017336)". Lineage: Eukaryota; Viridiplantae; Streptophyta; Magnoliopsida; Poales; Bromeliaceae. The record is from RNAcentral.